This 391-nucleotide ribosomal RNA is filed under the name uncultured bacterium. RNAcentral describes it as "bacterial SSU rRNA". It matches the Rfam family "Bacterial small subunit ribosomal RNA", at positions 28 to 438 of the family's 1533-position model. The record is from RNAcentral.
GAUGAACGCUGGCGGCGUGCCUAAUACAUGCAAGUCGAGCGGUAAGGCCCCUUCGGGGGUACACGAGCGGCGGACGGCUGAGUAACGCGUAGGAACGUACCCCAAAGUGAGGGAUAAGCACCAGAAAUGGUGUCUAAUACCGCAUGUGGUCUAAGGACUAAAGCUCCGGCGCUUUGGGAACGGCCUGCGUAUGAUUAGCUUGUUGGUGAGGUAAUGGCUCACCAAGGCGACGANCAUUAGCUGGUCUGAGAGGAUGAUCAGCCAGACUGGGACUGAGACACGGCCCAGACUCCUACGGGAGGCAGCAGUAGGGAAUUUUCCACAAUGGGGCAACCCUGAUGGAGCAACGCCGCGUGCAGGAUGAAUGCCUUCGGGUUGUAAACUCCUGUCA